This 249-nucleotide unclassified non-coding RNA is filed under the name Hevea brasiliensis (rubber tree). Lineage: Eukaryota; Viridiplantae; Streptophyta; Magnoliopsida; Malpighiales; Euphorbiaceae. The record is from RNAcentral.
UUUCAUUUAGACCUAUAAUGAGGACUACAAAGAGUUGUUUCACAUUGUAAAGAUGAUUCUACUGUCAUGUGCAACGAAUCCCAGUUAGGAUAUAUAACAAUUUGAUUUCAAGAAUGUAUUCUUGCAUGGACAUCUAGAAGAAAUUUAUAUGGAAAUUCGUCCAUGUUUUGCUAAUGAGAGAAUUAAAGGAAAAAAAAUUGUCAUUUGAAGAAGGCUAUAUAUGGCUUGAAACGAUUAGUUAGAGCAUGG